This 253-nucleotide ribosomal RNA is filed under the name uncultured bacterium. Its description in RNAcentral is "partial 16S ribosomal RNA". It matches the Rfam family "Bacterial small subunit ribosomal RNA", at positions 524 to 776 of the family's 1533-position model. The record is from RNAcentral.
UACAGGGGGGGCAAGCGUUGUUCGGAAUUACUGGGCGUAAAGGGUUCGUAGGCGGCCAUUCAAGUCCGACGUGAAAUCCCAAAGCUUAACUCUGGAACUGCGUCGGAUACUGGAUGGCUUGAAUUCGGGAGAGGGAUGCAGAAUUCCAGGUGUAGCGGUGAAAUGCGUAGAUAUCUGGAGGAAUACCGGUGGCGAAGGCGGCAUCCUGGACCGACAUUGACGCUGAGGAGCGAAAGCUAGGGGAGCAAACGGG